AACCCCAUGUUCACUUUGCCACCGCGACAGUUGGUGUCCACUGUGGUCAUUCAUGUGGGGGAAAUCACUCCGACCUCCAGCAUCCUCGGCCUCGACCGCCCUGUUGGAGCAGAGGCGCUGGCGGGGUUACAACAAAU
This 137-nucleotide small nucleolar RNA is filed under the name Hippocampus comes (tiger tail seahorse). RNAcentral describes it as "Small nucleolar RNA SNORA27 (ENSHCOG00000017890.1)". Lineage: Eukaryota; Metazoa; Chordata; Actinopteri; Syngnathiformes; Syngnathidae. The record is from RNAcentral.